Molecule: ribosomal RNA, 413 nt
Filed under: uncultured eukaryote
Lineage: Eukaryota
Description: SSU rRNA
Rfam family: Eukaryotic small subunit ribosomal RNA
Source: RNAcentral
CAAUAGCGUAUAUUAAAGUUGUUGCGGUUAAAAAGCUCGUAGUUGGAUUUCUGCCGAGGACGACCGGUCCGCCCUCUGGGUGAGUAUCUGGUUCGGCCUGGGCAUCUUCUUGGAGAACGUAUCUGCACUUGACUGUGUGGUGCGGUAUCCAGGACUUUUACUUUGAGGAAAUUAGAGUGUUUACGGCAGGCAAACGCCUUGAAUACAUUAGCAUGGAAUAAUAAUAUAGGACCUGAGUUCUAUUUUGUUGGUUUCUAGAGCUUAGGUAAUGAUUAAUAGGGACACUUGGGGGCGAUUCGUAUUAACGCGUCAGAGGUGAAAUUCUUGGAUUGCGUUACGACGAACUACUGCGAAAGCAUUUGCCAAGGAUGUUUUCAUUGAUCAAGAACGAAAGUGUGGGAUCGAAGACGAUU